CCUGGUCUUGACAUCCACGGAAGUUUUCAGAGAUGAGAAUGUGCCUUCGGGAACCGUGAGACAGGUGCUGCAUGGCUGUCGUCAGCUCGUGUUGUGAAAUGUUGGGUUAAGUCCCGCAACGAGCGCAACCCUUAUCCUUUGUUGCCAGCGGUCCGGCCGGGAACUCAAAGGAGACUGCCAGUGAUAAACUGGAGGAAGGUGGGGAUGACGUCAAGUCAUCAUGGCCCUUACGACCAGGGCUACACACGUGCUACAAU
This 257-nucleotide ribosomal RNA is filed under the name Escherichia coli. RNAcentral's name for it is "partial 16S ribosomal RNA". It matches the Rfam family "Bacterial small subunit ribosomal RNA", at positions 974 to 1231 of the family's 1533-position model. Lineage: Bacteria; Pseudomonadati; Pseudomonadota; Gammaproteobacteria; Enterobacterales; Enterobacteriaceae. The record is from RNAcentral.